Molecule: long non-coding RNA, 262 nt
Organism: Neopelma chrysocephalum (saffron-crested tyrant-manakin)
Lineage: Eukaryota; Metazoa; Chordata; Aves; Passeriformes; Pipridae
Exons: 2
Source: RefSeq, a predicted model, not a curated record
CCUGUCCCUGUGAAUGAACAUGCUCACUUCUCCUAUAUGUUGUUCAAACCAAAACAAACCCCAAGCUCUGAGAAAUGAGAGUGACAUUUGCUGUUCGAUGCUGGAGGCACAAACUGUAUCUGUUAUAUUUCCCAGGAACUGUGUUUCUGCGCUACGGAUGCGUGAAGGGGAGGAUAAACCUGGGAGCUGCCCUUCCUGCCAAUAGGCUGCUAGCAAGGAGUUGUCAAAAUAAAUGCAUUACUCAGCUCCUUUGAGGUGCUUA